GCGGUGAAGGAUGAGCCCGCGGCCUAUCAGCUUGUUGGUGGGGUAAUGGCCUACCAAGGCGACGACGGGUAGCCGGCCUGAGAGGGCGACCGGCCACACUGGGACUGAGACACGGCCCAG
RNAcentral lists this ribosomal RNA (120 nucleotides) under uncultured bacterium. RNAcentral describes it as "partial 16S ribosomal RNA". It matches the Rfam family "Bacterial small subunit ribosomal RNA", at positions 215 to 334 of the family's 1533-position model. The record is from RNAcentral.